RNAcentral lists this long non-coding RNA (859 nucleotides) under Brassica rapa (field mustard). Its description in RNAcentral is "long non-coding RNA (BRAP_LNC004199)". The record is from RNAcentral. Lineage: Eukaryota; Viridiplantae; Streptophyta; Magnoliopsida; Brassicales; Brassicaceae.
AAUGUUUAUAAUAAAAUAUUAUUUCAGAUAACAACAAAAUAAUAUGUAUAAGAUUUAUAGUAUAGAAAAUAUUUUUUUUUUUAUUUUGAUCAUUUAUCAUAUUAAUUUAUAAUCAAUUAGGUAAUAUGAAAUACAAUAUAAUAUUAUUAAUAUAAAAUUUGUUUUAAUUAUAUAAUAAGUCAAAUACCAAAAAUUAUGGAGAACAUGACACAUAAGCAAUUUUCAAACAGAAUUUUUGAUUUUCAAAGAAAAAAACAAUUGAAAAAAAAAAUUCCAAAAAAAAUUCAAAAAAAAAGAAUUAUAAAAAGUUCGAAUUUGAAAAUGUAUAAUUCGAAAACAUAAAAAAUAUUUUUUUAUUUAUUUAAAUAAUGAUUUAUUAUAUAUAUAGAUAACAUGAGUAUAAGAAUCUUUCGCCACUUAAUAAAGAAUAUAUUUUUGAAAAUAUCCUUUUAGUGGUGGUAAAGAUGAAAAGUGGUAACAUGAAAGUUGUAAACAUAGAAUUUUCCCAACUAAAUACCUUCAUUAUGAUGAUAGCUGAAAUAUCCACAGUGCAUAUAAAUAUGCUACUCACCUCUACCAAAAUAGUUGUAUGGUUCAAAUUUGAUAGAAUAUAAAACACCUAAAAGAGACGAGAGGGAAAAUAAACAGCGCAAAACCUUGUAAACAAUUAGAAAGGAUAAGUUACGAUUUCCCUAAGGCUCUUAUUCAGUUAUUCGUGGAACUCACUAAUUAAGUACUACUCUUAGACGGUGUUGGCAAUAUUGUCUUGUAGUAUCAGUUCCAUUAACCCAUCAUAUUUUUAAAAAUUAUUUUCAGGAUUAUGUUUAGUUAGCCACUUCCUUCAUACAUGGGCACACUA